GACGAACGCUGGCGGCGUGCUUAACACAUGCAAAUCGAACGGAAAGGCCCUGCUUUUGUGGGGUGCUCGAGUGGCGAACGGGUGAGUAACACGUGAGUAACCUGCCCUUGACUUUGGGAUAACUUCAGGAAACUGGGGCUAAUACCGGAUAGGAGCUCCUGCUGCAUGGUGGGGGUUGGAAAGUUUCGGCGGUUGGGGAUGGACUCGCGGCUUAUCAGCUUGUUGGUGGGGUAGUGGCUUACCAAGGCUUUGACGGGUAGCCGGCCUGAGAGGGUGACCGGCAACAUUGGGACUGAGAUACGGCCCAGACUCCUACGGGAGGCAGCAGUGGGGAAUAUUGCACAAUGGGCGGAAGCCUGAUGCAGCAACGCCGCGUGCGGGAUGACGGCCUUCGGGUUGUAAACCGCUUUCGCCUGUGACGAAGCGUGAGUGACGGUAAUGGGUAAAGAAGCACCGGCUAACUACGUG
RNAcentral lists this ribosomal RNA (468 nucleotides) under uncultured bacterium. RNAcentral describes it as "partial 16S ribosomal RNA". It matches the Rfam family "Bacterial small subunit ribosomal RNA", at positions 28 to 507 of the family's 1533-position model. The record is from RNAcentral.